This is a long non-coding RNA of Oncorhynchus tshawytscha (Chinook salmon), 1018 nucleotides long. The record is from Ensembl. NCBI's taxonomy places the organism in Eukaryota, Metazoa, Chordata, Actinopteri, Salmoniformes, Salmonidae.
AAAGGAGAGAGAGUAGAGAGAGAAAGGGAGAGAGAGAGAGAGAGAGAGAGAGAGAGUACCAUAGUAAGUAUGCAGCUUGUGUGCAUCACAGUCAUCGCAGGGAGCACUUACGGUAAUUUUGUUUCAUUUUUUUAGACCAUCUGCCGAUUUUACUUCUCUGCCGACUCAGACCAGCAGUUGGUGUUUGUUUGUGUGUCAGAUUGUGUGGCUCCUGCCGACUCAGACCAGCAGUUGUUCCACCUGCAGCCCAUUAACACAGAUGUCUUCCCUUCCCUGCUGUGACUGCCCUGGCUCCACCGAAAGGCCCUGUUUGCAUAGUCUGUGUUUCUAAAAAAAAUAAAACACUCCUCUCUGUGCUCAGAUCGAUGCUAGCUGCACAAUAACAGAGAGCGAAAACAGGGUCAGCUGGGGAUCCGUCACCCAGCACACUUUCUAAAGCUUUCUGGGUGAAAUGGUGCUCAUCAUUAUUAUCAUUAUCAUCAAUUAUUGCACAUUCCCAUCCACAUUCAGUGCGCCCUCUUCAUGCCCCUUCUCUUAGUAGAGUGCCCAUCACCCAACCCACACAAGAGUUGGAAGCCUUUGGUAUGCUGAGUGGAUCCAGGUUUCAGGCGCCAACUUGUGCCACUUUCACAUCAUGUCGGAAACUUGGGAACUCUUGAGAUUUCCGACUUGCUUAUUCAUUGUAGAAAGAUGAUACAGAAUCAACCAACAGGAAGUUCUACGCAAAUAACUUACGUUAAUUUGAACUCUAAGGUCCCGAGUUUCCAACAUGACAUGAACACGGCAUAACACACGAAAUUGAAGGCAAUGGUCUGUGGUUUUAUGCUUUAAAAAUCAUUUUAGUGUUAUUUUUUUGUCUACCCCUCCAUAUUGUUCCUGUGUUUUUUGUAAGUUGCUGCUGUUGAAACAUCGCUCUCUCUUCCUUUGUUGGACUCUGUGUUAUACUGAGAAAAAAAUGAACUAUUUUGUAUAAAAGAUGUCUCUUUUCAAUGUGAUUAAAGGGGAAAUGUGCAAAGCC